Molecule: unclassified non-coding RNA, 386 nt
Filed under: Hevea brasiliensis (rubber tree)
Lineage: Eukaryota; Viridiplantae; Streptophyta; Magnoliopsida; Malpighiales; Euphorbiaceae
Source: RNAcentral
UUUGUGUUCGAAUUUGCCACAAUUCAAUUGGGCUUGACCUUACUUAUUUUGUAUAUCUGUUGACUGCGAAUUGUUUGUCAAUGUGUCGGCUUGUCUUUUUCUUUUCUUGAUUUCAUGACUUGAGAGUGAUUUGAAGAUUGUUUUAUUUACGAAAACAUUUUAUUUAGAAGGAUAUGAAUUCAUUUUGAUUCAUAUUUUUGCAUUCUUUGGAGAAAUCGACUUCUGGGUAAUCAGUAGAAGCGAAGAUUCUGGUCUUGAUUCGAACAUCUCUUGAAGAAGGUGCAGCAUUGUAUUAUCUAGAGUGAUUCGAAGAAAUGUCAACAAAAAGGGAAUCUAAACAGCCGGUACCUAGUGUCAUGGCAAGAUUAAUGGGGCUGGAUGAAAUG